Cairina moschata (Muscovy duck) is the source of this 4315-nucleotide long non-coding RNA. The record is from Ensembl. NCBI's taxonomy places the organism in Eukaryota, Metazoa, Chordata, Aves, Anseriformes, Anatidae.
GGACACCGCGGGGUGUUGGGUCCUGAGCAAGGGCUGGCUUUGGAAACGUCCCCGAGGUGCAGCAGCGGGGGCCCUGCCAGCACCAGCAUCGGGGCUGGCAGAGCCAGGGCCAUGAAUCUGUAAAUACAUGGUGGGUUAUUUCUAUUAUUUCCAUUAUUCCUUAUUUAAUUCACCGCUCUUCUGUUGUUACCUCUCCCAAGUGGUGCUCUGGCAUAAAAGGUGCCGCAGGAUUUCGCUUUGAUCCUACGGUCCUUGUGCUGUGACCAGGGUGGGUGUGGGACUGAUGGCCCCAGACAGGGCACAGCCGGAUCUGAGCAGGGUGCAUGGGGUCAGGAUACAUCCCACAGAGCCCUGGGCAGGUCGAGACAGGGCAGUGCUGUGUGCUGGGAUGAGAGCUGAGCAUUUUCUGGGUGAUGGCACCGUUGGAUUAAGCUGAGCACCCACCUGUGGCACCUGGGCCUUAUUUAUUUUGCACUACUGCUAUUUUCCACGGAACUAUUUCAGUGGUUUUCCAAGUCUUGUAGCUGAAUUAAAGCCCAGCUCUGCACGUAAGGUGGCUGCCUCCUGCACGCCCGAGGUCUCACCCCCAGCAGCCGUCUGGAUGCGGCCUCUCGCCUCCUCCUGGCACAGCACUGUGUGCCACCGGCUGCCUGUGCCACCCUGCACUCGGGGAGGCUUUUGGUGAUGAAGUUUUGCCGCGCCAAGCCCCUGCCUGAGCCGUGCCCCGAGCCUCCCCCUGCUCAGGAGCUUAUCUGUAAACGGAGGAAGGCGCGUCAGGAUGUUCAGCAAAUAGCUGUCAUGUAAUAGAUGGGGCGCCCACGGAAACGAACACUUACAAAUGGCUGUAGCAUUUACCGAAAUGUCACGCCGAUUGCUCUCUGCUGCUCUGCCGAGGGGUGGCUUCGUGCCUGCCCCCGGCACCGCGGCGAUUCGGGGCGCCGGGAGCUCGGCUCGCACCGAGCGCGGCCAGGGGAGCAGCACGGGGCUCGGAGAGGCAAACAGAUCCAGGCAAAAAUCUCCUCUUCCAUCACGUUUAUUCCUCUUUCACAUUUCCCUGGAUGAGGGCGUUGCCAAGCACCUGGUCCGGACUUCGAGUCGUCAUUUAUUCAGAUUUAUGCAGAUGCAUUCCACUAACAAGUUAAUUCGUUUAGCAGGUCCGGCAGCUCUUUACAUUUUGCGCAGGUUUUAUCCCCUCCUUCCCUUCCUCUCCCCUCCCGCCAAGCCUGUCAGGAACCUCCACCGCUUUUCUGCUGAGCUGGGCUCAUUUCUGCUGGGGGCCGUGACCUGCUGGAUCCCUGAACCUCCCCAAGAGCAGGACGGGGACGUGGCACGGAGCAGGGAUGUGUGGGAGGAGGAUGCGCAGCCGGCGAUGCUCGGCGCUUCUCCUGGCUGCCUGCAGGGCCUCAUCCUGCCCUGGUGCUGCUGUCCUGGGGCAUCCUGGCAUGGGGCAGCGCGGAGCUGUGGGUGCUCAGGCUGGAACCACGGCACCAGGAGCUGCAGAGCGCUCCCCUGGCACAACCGGCGCUCGCCCGUGGAGCCACGCGGGCACACGCUGCCCUCCUCCAGCACCCACGGGACAUCCGUGCAGCACAAUCAUCUUGCCUGCUUCCUCCGGGACCGUUAGCGCUCCUGCACUCGACAGAAGAUUAAUUAAGCCGGGGUCCUGGCAGAGGACAGCCCGCGCGCUCCCGGCCGGGCUGGGUGAGCGGGGUGACCCCGGGGCGCAGCCCGGGCUGCGGGGCCGAGCACGGCCGUGCCUCCAGCGGGAGGGUUCACUGCUAAUUGUGCCCCUCCGGGUGUUUGGAGCUCAUUAGAAGCUGGGAAUUAUUAAUGGGGAGCACCGGUGGCUCCUCUGGGCACCCCAAAGCCUGCAGGAAACCCCUCUGCUCCCCAUGCACCCACGGGGAGCAGAGGCACAUGGAGCUGUGGGAUCCCCAGCCUGGCAGCCCCAAGGCAGCCCCCAGGAGCUGCCCUUGGGGUCUCAGGUACCUGUGUGGGGCUCUGUGCCCCUCGCCAAGUCGGGAGCCAGGCUCGGGAGCUGCUUGGCCCCAAAGUGGCUGCUCCACGGGGUGCACUUCUUCCCCACGGCCCCAAAAACCUCCUCCAUCACGGGGCUUCAGCGAGCUCCUGGCCUGCUGCAGGGAGGUUCAUUUAAUAUGUGCAGAAGUGCUAUUUAAUUUAACGCAUUUGUUAGAUUUUUAAUAGCUUCAGCAUCAGGAAUGAGGAGCGAGUGGAAUCGUUGCAGGCAGCUCCUGCUGGUCCCUGGGCUGCUCGGGUCCCCCCCAGCCCUCCCAGAGGGGCUGAGGUGGCCCCGAAAACCCCACAUGGGUCCAGCCCUGGGGACCCUCUUCCAGCCAAAUAAUUUGCUGGGGGUGAGAUUUAAAGCGCAGGACCGGACCGCAGGGCUUUGCCGCUCUCAGACAGAAAGACAACUCCUGGGUGCCCAAAGUUUGCAAAAAUCCCCCAAAAUUCAUUCCAGCCUCACUGAGUCACGGGCUGGUGCUCAUCUCCCACACCAUCCCCGUGCCACACACCCUCCUGUCCCCAUCGCAGCCCCAAAAUCUGGGCAGCUCGGGCGCGUUUACCCACACCAGGGCGCAGGGGUAGAGAUCUCACCCGCCGAGAUGCACAACCCCAGCCAAACGGCACGGAGCCGUGGCCAGCAAAACCCGAGGGCCACGAGCCACAAGGACCAGGAGCCACAAGGACCAGGAGGGCACAGAGAGGGAAAUCGGGGCGAAGCAGCAGCAGCAGCGAGGGGCAGGAGGGAGGCGCCUCCUGGAAGGAGCCCAGAGCGCGUCGCUCAGCGCAAAGCAAAUGUUUUGACUUCCAGUUGCUGGGGUUUUGUCGCGGUUCUGAUACGCUGGCUCUAAAAGAAAAAUGCCAUCGUGUGACAAAAAAAAAAAAGUCAGAGAUUUUUCUUUGGGAAAUGUCAAAACGAAACACUUCCAAAGCGAGAUGUCUCAUCAGCCAAAUCCCUGCCCCGAGGCUGCGCUGGAGACCGCGGGGCUCCCGGACCCAGCACCUGCACCCCCCGUUAACCCCCCCCCAUCCCAUGGGGAGGACCCAGAAGUGGUCCCCAAAAUGUGCCGCGGGUCCCACAGCCUGGCCGUGCCCCGGUGCCACCCAUCAGUGCCACUGCACACACCAGAGCCCCGUGCGUCACUGCUGAUGCUCAGCGUCCCCAUCGCCGCCCAGCCCCGUGGCCUUUUUCUGGGCCCAUGGGGGUCACAGCGGGGGCUGGGGGAGCUGCCCCGACCCCAUCCCAUCCCAAAUCCAUCGGGGUGCUCAGACAGCAGCGGCUCGGUGCCCUCUCCCCUUCACAAACGAGUCCCCACCGCCUGCUGUGGGAGCUCCCCUGUGCCAGGACAACCAGAGCCCUUCCACCUGCCUGCGCCGAGGGGCCUGCUCCGGGCGGGCAGUUCGUGGGAUUUCAUUAUUAUUAUUAUUAUUAUUAUUGUUAUUAUUUAAUUCUCAAGGUCGUGGGAUUUACGGCCCAAGCUUACUUAUUAUCAGACGCAGCCAAAUAAAAAUGAUAGAUUUCUGUGCCAGCUUUGCAGCAGCUCUCGGUGGCUAUUAAGGUUGCUAAAAACGUUUUCCAUUCAAAAAAAAAAAAAAAAAAACGGAGAGCAAAGAACGGAGGGAAGAAAAAGAGCAAAAGGAAAAAGGCAAUAGGAUCCAGGCCAGUGAUGGAUUGCAGGAGAUAAUCCUUCCUGGCAGCCCAGGACUGCAUAACCUUGAUGUCACCAGCUAUUUUUCUCUGCCUGAGCUCUCCAGCUCAGCACGGGUGCCCGUGGCAGAGGGGUGACCCCACUGCGCCUCCCCAAAACUGCCGGAAUUUGGGGUUUCCCCCUCAUUUCUGUGUCCUGGGAAGGAGGGGAGCUGGGUCCCGGUGUCAGAGCAUCCCAAGGGGCAGGCGGGGGGCACGGGGCUGUGGGUGCCCAUCGCCCACUGGUGGGUGCUGGGGUGAUGGGGGCAGCGUCCCCAAGAUCAGCCCCACUCCGGCACGGCCCCCGCUCCCCUCCCCGCCAGCAUCCCCUCUCCAUCCCCUUUUUGUCAUCCGCCGUCCCCCCCCGCGCCCCUUCCCGCCGCGCUCUCUUCCCCGCAUUUCUGCCAUUUUUAUCUAACGCCGGCCGUGAAAAUUGGUGUGAAAUUAAAAAAAAAAAAAAAAAGGCAUCUCUGCCCACAGAUGAAAUCAAUUGAUUUGGCAGGUCGCCCGUGGACACCUCCGAGCAGCACUUCCAAUUUGCAGGACGGACGCGGGCUCUGUGCAGCUUCUUCCCUUUCUUCUCCCGCCUCGCCCCCCCCCCUUCUC